This 66-nucleotide transfer RNA is filed under the name Planctomycetaceae bacterium. Its description in RNAcentral is "tRNA-Ala". Lineage: Bacteria; Pseudomonadati; Planctomycetota; Planctomycetia; Planctomycetales; Planctomycetaceae. The record is from RNAcentral.
CGUCUUGUUUGCCAUGGUGCUGCCUUUGCAAGGCAGAGGUUACCGGUUCGACCCCGGUACGCUCCA